Molecule: ribosomal RNA, 253 nt
Filed under: uncultured bacterium
Lineage: Bacteria
Description: partial 16S ribosomal RNA
Rfam family: Bacterial small subunit ribosomal RNA
Source: RNAcentral
UACGGAGGGUGCGAGCGUUGUUCGGAAUUACUGGGCGUAAAGGGCUCGUAGGCGGCCAACUAAGUCAGACGUGAAAUCCCUCGGCUUAACCGGGGAACUGCGUCUGAUACUGGAUGGCUAGAGGUUGGGAGAGGGAUGCGGAAUUCCAGGUGUAGCGGUGAAAUGCGUAGAUAUCUGGAGGAACACCGGUGGCGAAGGUGGUUCUCUGGGCCUUACCUGACACUGAGGAGCGAAAGCGUGGGGAGCGAACAGG